RNAcentral lists this unclassified non-coding RNA (267 nucleotides) under uncultured fungus. RNAcentral describes it as "sequence contains ITS1, 5.8S rRNA gene". The stretch from base 219 to 267 matches the Rfam family "5.8S ribosomal RNA", at positions 1 to 49 of the family's 154-position model. The record is from RNAcentral. Lineage: Eukaryota; Fungi.
UCUCCGUUGGUGAACCAGCGGAGGGAUCAUUACCGAGUUUACAACUCCCAAACCCCUGUGAACUUACCAUUUGUUGCCUCGGCAGAACCUACCCGGUAACUGUUCGGAGAGGCUACCCUGUAGCUACCCUGUAACGGCCUACCCUGUAACGUCCUGCCGGUGGACUUUUAAACUCUUGUUAUUUAUAGUAAUCUGAGCGUCUUAUUUUAAUAAGUCAAAACUUUCAACAACGGAUCUCUUGGUUCUGGCAUCGAUGAAGAACGCAGC